UUGUUGGUAAGGUAAAAGCUUACCAAGGCUUCGAUCAGUAGCUGGUCUGAGAGGACGACCAGCCACACUGGGACUGAGACACGGCCCAGACUCCUACGGGAGGCAGCAGUGGGGAAUUUUGGACAAUGGGGGCAACCCUGAUCCAGCCAUGCCGCGUGAGUGAAGAAGGCCUUCGGGUUGUAAAGCUCUUUCAGCCGGAACGAAACGGUUACGGAUAACACCCGUGACUACUGACGGUACCGGAAGAAGAAGCACCGGCUAACUACGUGCCAGCAGCCGCGGUAAUACGUAGGGUGCGAGCGUUAAUCGGAAUUACUGGGCGUAAAGCGUGCGCAGGUGGUUUUGUAAGUCAGAUGUGAAAGCCCUGGGCUCAACCUGGGAACUGCGUUUGAAACUACAAGACUAGAGUGUGGCAGAGGGGGGUGGAAUUCCGCGUGUAGCAGUGAAAUGCGUAGAGAUGUGGAGGAACACCGAUGGCGAAGGCAGCCCCCUGGGUCAACACUGACGCUCAGGCACGAAAGCAUGGGGAGCAAACAGGAUUAGAUACCCUGGUAGUCCAUGCCCUAAACGAUGUCAACUAGUUGUCGGGCCUUUACGGGCUUGGUAACGUAGCUAACGCGUGAAGUUGACCGCCUGGGGAGUACGAUCGCAAGAUUAAAACUCAAAUGAAUUGACGGGGACCCGCACAAGCGGUGGAUUAUGUGGAUUAAUUCGAUGCAACGCGAAAAACCUUACCUACCCUUGACAUGUAUCGAAGCCCGCAGAAAAGCGGGGGUGCCCGAAAGGGAACGAUAACACAGGUGCUGCAUGGCUGUCGUCAGCUCGUGUCGUGAGAUGUUGGGUUAAGUCCCGCAACGAGCGCAACCCUUGUCAUUAAUUGCCAUCAUUUAGUUGGGCACUUUAAUGAGACUGCCGG
RNAcentral lists this ribosomal RNA (916 nucleotides) under uncultured bacterium. RNAcentral's name for it is "bacterial SSU rRNA". It matches the Rfam family "Bacterial small subunit ribosomal RNA", at positions 246 to 1155 of the family's 1533-position model. The record is from RNAcentral.